UACGUAGGUGGCAAGCGUUGUCCGGAAUUAUUGGGCGUAGGGCGCGCGCAGGCGGUCUUUUAAGUCUGAUGUGAAAGCCCACGGCUCAACCGUGGAGGGGCAUUGGAAACUGGGAGACUUGAGUGCAGAAGAGGAGAGUGGAAUUCCACGUGUAGCGGUGAAAUGCGUAGAGAUCGGGAGGAAUACCAGUGGCGACGGCGGCCUUCUGGACUGACACUGCCACUGAGGUGCGAAAGCGUGUGUAGCAAACAAG
Molecule: unclassified non-coding RNA, 253 nt
Filed under: uncultured Bacillaceae bacterium
Lineage: Bacteria; Bacillati; Bacillota; Bacilli; Caryophanales; Bacillaceae
Description: contains 16S-23S intergenic spacer region
Rfam family: Bacterial small subunit ribosomal RNA
Source: RNAcentral